UUUAUUCUUUUAUUAUAA
RNAcentral lists this transfer RNA (18 nucleotides) under Vespula flavopilosa. Its description in RNAcentral is "partial tRNA-Leu". Lineage: Eukaryota; Metazoa; Arthropoda; Insecta; Hymenoptera; Vespidae. The record is from RNAcentral.